CAGGAAAAGCCCAGCACUAAGCCCUCCAGUCGUAUUGGCUGGUAGGGGAUGCAGUGUAUGGAAUGUCUAUUAUCUUAUAUGACGGUAAUACGUUCAAGUCCAUCUUGAAUGGGGCUAUUUUACCCAUAGAGGGUGCCAGGCCCGUAGUAACUAUUACCAUGUAUAAGAAGAUAUUUCCAAAGAGUCGUGUUGCUUGAUAGUGCAGCACUAAGUUGGUGGUAAACUCCAUCUAAGGCUAAAUAUGACCACGAGACCGAUAGCGAACAAGUACCGUGAGGGAAAGUUGAAAAGCACUCUGAAUAGAGAGUUAAAUAGUACGUGAAACCGCUUAGGGAUUAAACCCGAUGAACCUGAAUAUCUGAAUUGAGAAAUUCAAUAUUAUUUUAUUAUUAUUUUAAACAUAAUAAUAUAAAUGGUAUGCACUUUUCUCAUAGUAGGACAUUGCGAUCCAUUAGUAUAAUCUUUUUAAGAUAGUUUAUCAAACGGCCCAUUUAGUCAGUUUAUUCUAUCUGUAAUAAUUUUUAUUAAUUGUUAUAUGAAUAAUGCUAUAUCGGUGACCUGGUAAACGUCUGAUGGAGCUUAACGAUCAUGCAACCAUGUAAAUGUAUCACGGUUUAUAUAUUAUUUUUUUAUAUGAAUGCAGUGAUAGCAUGUAUUUGAUCAGCAAUGCGAUAGAUUUGGGAUACCUUCGGGACCCGUCU
This 701-nucleotide ribosomal RNA is filed under the name Neuratelia caucasica. RNAcentral describes it as "eukaryotic LSU rRNA". It matches the Rfam family "Eukaryotic large subunit ribosomal RNA", at positions 99 to 654 of the family's 3401-position model. Lineage: Eukaryota; Metazoa; Arthropoda; Insecta; Diptera; Mycetophilidae. The record is from RNAcentral.